Molecule: long non-coding RNA, 683 nt
Organism: Pogoniulus pusillus (Red-fronted tinkerbird)
Lineage: Eukaryota; Metazoa; Chordata; Aves; Piciformes; Lybiidae
Exons: 3
Source: RefSeq, a predicted model, not a curated record
CCUGUGAAAUGGAGAUAUUGGUUUUUGUUAGUCCAUCUUCUACUUUGCUGUCUUACACAGUGCGUGGCACAUGAUGUUCCCAGCUUCCAGAAGCAAGAAUUGGUGUUUGUCUGGGAUGCUUCAGACUGAGAAAUUGGCAAAAUGUUGAGAUACUGAACCCUGGAGAGAGGGAAUAUUUCUGGCCUUGUGAAAGGAGAGUCCCAGCUGGGCACCAAAGGGAAAAUGGUACAGCACAUUAAGGUGUUGAGGAGAGCUUGUGGCAAAGGAAGAGGAAUGCUUUGGAGAGGGGAGGUUACCAAAAGAAGUCCAGCUUACUGAUAGCAAACAUUAAACUUGCCUCUUCCUAGAGGAAUUGCAGGAAGUCCAGAUUUGUUUGGAAGGGAGAUUUCAUGGGACUUAUGUGAUGGAUGGUGUGAAAAGUUUCCAGGAAACAAGAAGAUGGGGGAGGAUGGAAUACUUCUAACAUUUUUCCAUGACUGUUUGGGAAACUAGAAGAGCUACUUGUGGAACUGUGAAGCAACAGUGAAUUCCUGGAGAAAGAUGACAUGCUGCAAAAACUUCUGUUUAUGACAAAAAACAUUUAGCCUGGAGAAGACUGAGGGGUAUCUCCUUAAUGAUUAUACAUACUAAAGGGUGAGUGUCAGGAGGAUGGAGCCAGGCUCUUCUCAGUGGUGUCCAGAGAC